GUGAACGCUGGCGGUAGGCCUAACACAUGCAAGUCGAACGGCAGCACAGUAAGAGCUUGCUCUUACGGGUGGCGAGUGGCGGACGGGUGGGGAAUACAUCGGAAUCUACUUUUUCGUGGGGGAUAACGUAGGGAAACUUACGCUAAUACCGCAUACGACCUACGGGUGAAAGCAGGGGAUCUUCGGACCUUGCGCGGUUGAAUGAGCCGAUGUCGGAUUAGCUAGUUGGCGGGGUAAAGGCCCACCAAGGCGACGAUCCGUAGCUGGUCUGAGAGGAUGAUCAGCCACACUGGAACUGAGACACGGUCCAGACUCCUACGGGAGGCAGCAGUGGGGAAUAUUGGACAAUGGGCGCAAGCCUGAUCCAGCCAUACCGCGUGGGUGAAGAAGGCCUUCGGGUUGUAAAGCCCUUUUGUUGGGAAAGAAAAGCAGCAGGUUAAUACCCCGCUGUUCUGACGGUACCCAAAGAAUAAGCACCGGCUAACUUCGUG
Molecule: ribosomal RNA, 491 nt
Filed under: uncultured bacterium
Lineage: Bacteria
Description: partial 16S ribosomal RNA
Rfam family: Bacterial small subunit ribosomal RNA
Source: RNAcentral